UACGGGAGGCAGCAGUGGGGAAUAUUGCACAAUGGGCGCAAGCCUGAUGCAGCCAUGCCGCGUGUAUGAAGAAGGCCUUCGGGUUGUAAAGUACUUUCAGUCGUGAGGAAGGUGUUAAGGUUAAUAACCUUAGCAAUUGACGUUAGCGACAGAAGAAGCACCGGCUAACUCCGUGCCAGCAGCCGCGGUAAUACGGAGGGUGCGAGCGUUAAUCGGAAUUACUGGGCGUAAAGGGCACGCAGGCGGUUAAUUAAGUUGGAUGUGAAAUCCCCGGGCUUAACCUGGGAAUGGCAUUCAAGACUGGUUAGCUAGAGUCUUGUAGAGGGGGUUAGAAUUCCAUGUGUAGCGGUGAAAUGCGUAGAGAUGUGGAGGAAUACCGGUGGCGAAGGCGGCCCCUGGACAAAGACUGACGCUCAUGUGCGAAAGCGUGGGGAGCAAACCAGGGAUUAGAU
This 452-nucleotide ribosomal RNA is filed under the name uncultured bacterium. Its description in RNAcentral is "bacterial SSU rRNA". It matches the Rfam family "Bacterial small subunit ribosomal RNA", at positions 340 to 783 of the family's 1533-position model. The record is from RNAcentral.